RNAcentral lists this transfer RNA (74 nucleotides) under Camelus bactrianus (Bactrian camel). It matches the Rfam family "tRNA". From Rfam's summary of the family: Transfer RNA (tRNA) molecules are approximately 80 nucleotides in length. Their secondary structure includes four short double-helical elements and three loops (D, anti-codon, and T loops). The record is from Rfam by way of RNAcentral. RNAcentral also lists the same sequence under 2 other names. Lineage: Eukaryota; Metazoa; Chordata; Mammalia; Artiodactyla; Camelidae.
GGGGGUGCAGCUCAGAGGUAAAGCACAUGCUUAGCAUGCACGAGAGGCCCUGGGUUCAAUCCCCAGUACCUCUG